GAUCAACAGAGCUGACGUGUCAUUGGUUGACAAAAUCUCGUUGGAAGAGUUUGAAACGUAGAGUGCGUUCGCUUCGUCGGUCCCGUUUGUCUUCGAAUUGCUCGUCGAAUGUGGAACGAAGACAGAAACCGACAGACGUUCAAAGUGCACGCGACGUUCAAGUCCCAAACGAACGCACCUAUAGGGUGCGGUCACAAGCAGGUUGAAAAAUCGGGACGGCUCUCGAUUCCGUAUCCAUGCGAUGUAAUGAAAAUGACAGAAGUAAGCAGAUUUAUCACAAUUAUUGAUACCACAAUAAUUGAUCGUGGAUAUUUGAGCAAAUUCGCUCACUUUUUUUAGUUCAUUUUCACUACACAAACCGCGUGACGUCAGAAAAUCGACAUCCCCUGUAGGCGACAGGUCAAUCGCCAAUGAGAACGAUUCCGAUUGUCGUAGGGAAGUGCGGAAGUUGAAAGAAUUUAUUUACGGAGUCUGAAGUAACGGAAACUAACAGCGUCUUUGUCGUCCAAGUGGCGGAAACUGAAAACGUAAAAGCGCGACACGAGCGGUGACACAAGGAUGAAAGAAGGAAAGAGACUGCGAAGUAAGUCCGGCUGUGUGUGUCACUUGAGCUAGAUUUUUUAGAAUACAUUUACGCAACAUUAACGCAAACAAAGGCAAUUUUACAAACACGCAUAUUUUACAAAAACUAGCAUCGCGACGAUGCGAAAAAAACAAAAAAA
Pseudomyrmex gracilis is the source of this 722-nucleotide long non-coding RNA. RefSeq lists it as uncharacterized. The record is from RefSeq and is a predicted model, not a curated record. The transcript has 2 exons. NCBI's taxonomy places the organism in Eukaryota, Metazoa, Arthropoda, Insecta, Hymenoptera, Formicidae.